Acipenser ruthenus (sterlet) is the source of this 231-nucleotide long non-coding RNA. RefSeq lists it as uncharacterized. NCBI's taxonomy places the organism in Eukaryota, Metazoa, Chordata, Actinopteri, Acipenseriformes, Acipenseridae. The transcript has 2 exons. The record is from RefSeq and is a predicted model, not a curated record.
CAUGUGCUCCACUGAAGUCUGUUCUCCAGACCAGCGCCGCUGCAAUGAGGGUUGCUUUGAUGGGAGAGACACUCCCAUCUCAGUCGACCCCAGUAUGAGACUGCGCUGUGCUGGUAAUCCCUGCCCAGGGAGGGUGAUGCUGGAGGGAGCCUAGUGAAGGAGCUCAGAGCCCAGGCAGGAAACUCAGCCCUAAGACUACAGUAACCAUUUCAAAUAAAGAGAACAAACCCA